CUUGCCCUUCCACCUAGUUUCCAUGUUAUGAUGCAGCAAGAAGGCCCUUGCCAGAUGUGGCUCCUGGAUUGUGGACUUUUCAGCCCCCAGAACUGUGAGCCAAACAAACUUCUUUUGUUCAUAACUUCCCCAGUCUGUGAUAUCCUGUUACAGCAGCAGAAAAUGGACUAAGACACCCAGGGAUGUACCUGGAACCUGGAAAAAGGAACUCAGUGUUGUAAAGAAGUCUGAGGAAGCAGGCCAAGUGUGGUGGCUCCUGCCUAUAAUUGGAGCACAUUGGGAGGCUGAGGCAGGAGGAUUGCUUGAGCUCAGGAGUUCGAGGCCAGCCUGGGCAACAUAGCAAGACCCUGUCUCUACAAAAAAAAAAAAUGAAAAAAAUUAGCCGGGUGUGAUGAUGCACGCGUGUAGUCCAAGUUACUCAGGAAGCUGAGGUGGGAGGAUUGCUUGAACACAGGAAGUCAAGGCUGGAGUGAGCUGUGAUUGCACCACUGCACUCCAGCCUGGGUGACAGGGCAAGACCCUGUCUCUAAAAAAAAAAAGAGAUUUUACCCCUUUUUAAGAAAGUUGUUUUUCCUCCUCCCUAUUUGGAUAUUUUCAGAAAUGUAUAAAUAUUCUUGAAAUUUUAACUUUUGACAAG
Molecule: long non-coding RNA, 637 nt
Filed under: Homo sapiens (human)
Lineage: Eukaryota; Metazoa; Chordata; Mammalia; Primates; Hominidae
Description: HSALNT0372690
Source: RNAcentral